AGGCUUUUUCGGAAGGGGAAAAAUUUGAAAGUUUCUUUUUUCCCGCCGAAAAAGCCUGC
RNAcentral lists this microRNA precursor (59 nucleotides) under Euprymna scolopes. Its description in RNAcentral is "Esc-Mir-12526-v2_pre stem-loop". The record is from RNAcentral. Lineage: Eukaryota; Metazoa; Mollusca; Cephalopoda; Sepiida; Sepiolidae.